GGCUGUAGCUCUGUGGUAGCACACUCGCCUGGCAUGUGUGAGGCACUGGGUUCAAUUCUCAGCACCA
RNAcentral lists this transfer RNA (67 nucleotides) under Marmota monax (woodchuck). Its description in RNAcentral is "tRNA.Ala". The record is from RNAcentral. Lineage: Eukaryota; Metazoa; Chordata; Mammalia; Rodentia; Sciuridae.